Molecule: small RNA, 77 nt
Filed under: Xanthomonas hortorum pv. pelargonii
Lineage: Bacteria; Pseudomonadati; Pseudomonadota; Gammaproteobacteria; Lysobacterales; Lysobacteraceae
Description: sX9 sRNA
Rfam family: Xanthomonas sRNA sX9
Source: RNAcentral
AUGUACCACUCGUACACUCCGGUUCUGAGCGCGCCAUCCACGCCCGCCUGACCACUGCUCGCUACGUUUUGUUAGCC